RNAcentral lists this non-coding RNA (32 nucleotides) under Trypanosoma brucei brucei. The record is from RNAcentral. Lineage: Eukaryota; Euglenozoa; Kinetoplastea; Trypanosomatida; Trypanosomatidae.
AAAUAUACAACGGGAUGAAGACAUAGAGAAAA